UCCUACGGGAGGCAGCAGUGGGGAAUAUUGCACAAUGGGCGCAAGCCUGAUGCAGCAACGCCGCGUGCGGGAUGACGGCCUUCGGGUUGUAAACCGCUUUCAGCAGGGACGAAGUGAAAAUGACGGUACCUGCAGAAGAAGCACCGGCUAACUACGUGCCAGCAGCCGCGGUGAUACGUAGGGUGCGAGCGUUGUCCGGAUUUAUUGGGCGUAAAGAGCUUGUAGGCGGUCUGUCACGUCGAAAGUGCAAACUCAGGGCUUAACCCUGAGCCUGCUUUCGAUACGGGCUGACUAGAGGAAGGUAGGGGAGAAUGGAAUUCCCGGUGGAGCGGUGGAAUGCGCAGAUAUCGGGAGGAACACCAGUGGCGAAGGCGGUUCUCUGGACCUUUCCUGACGCUGAGAAGCGAAAGCGUGGGGAGCAAACAGGCUUAGAUACCCUGGUAGUCCACGCCGUAAACGGUGGGUACUAGGUGUGGGGGACAUUCCACGUUCUCUGUGCCGUAGCUAACGCAUUAAGUACCCCGCCUGGGGAGUACGGCCGCAAGGCUAAAACUCAAAGGAAUUGACGG
Molecule: ribosomal RNA, 569 nt
Filed under: uncultured Brooklawnia sp.
Lineage: Bacteria; Bacillati; Actinomycetota; Actinomycetes; Propionibacteriales; Propionibacteriaceae
Description: bacterial SSU rRNA
Rfam family: Bacterial small subunit ribosomal RNA
Source: RNAcentral